RNAcentral lists this ribosomal RNA (446 nucleotides) under uncultured bacterium. Its description in RNAcentral is "bacterial SSU rRNA". It matches the Rfam family "Bacterial small subunit ribosomal RNA", at positions 329 to 792 of the family's 1533-position model. The record is from RNAcentral.
UUCCAGACUCCUACGGGAGGCAGCAGUGGGGAAUAUUGCACAAUGGGGGGAACCUUGAUGCAGCAACGCCGCGUGGGUGAAGAAGUACUCCGGUAUGUAAAGCCCUGUCAGCAGGGAAGAAAAUGACGGUACCUGACCAAGAAGCCCCGGCUAACUACGUGCCAGCAGCCGCGGUAAUACGUAGGGGGCAAGCGUUAUCCGGAAUUACUGGGUGUAAAGGGAGCGUAGACGGCGAAGUAAGCCUGAAGUGGAAGCCCGCGGCCCAACCGCGGAACUGCUUUGGGAACUGUUUUGCUGGAGUAUGGGAGGGGUAAGCGGAAUUCCUGGUGUAGCGGUGAAAUGCGUAGAUAUCAGGAGGAACACCGGUGGCGAAGGCGGCUUACUGGACCAUGACUGACGUUGAGGCUCGAAAGCGUGGGGAGCGAACAGGAUUAGAUACCCCCGUA